This 868-nucleotide ribosomal RNA is filed under the name Yarrowia lipolytica. Its description in RNAcentral is "partial large subunit ribosomal RNA". It matches the Rfam family "Eukaryotic large subunit ribosomal RNA", at positions 62 to 1033 of the family's 3401-position model. The record is from RNAcentral. Lineage: Eukaryota; Fungi; Ascomycota; Dipodascomycetes; Dipodascales.
AAACCAACAGGGAUUGCCUCAGUAACGGCGAGUGAAGCGGCAAAAGCUCAAAUUUGAAACCCUCGGGAUUGUAAUUUGAAGAUUUGGCAUUGGAGAAAGCUAACCCAAGUUGCUUGGAAUAGUACGUCAUAGAGGGUGACAACCCCGUCUGGCUAACCGUUCUCCAUGUAUUGCCUUAUCAAAGAGUCGAGUUGUUUGGGAAUGCAGCUCAAAGUGGGUGGUAAACUCCAUCUAAAGCUAAAUACUGGUGAGAGACCGAUAGCGAACAAGUACUGUGAAGGAAAGGUGAAAAGAACUUUGAAAAGAGAGUGAAAUAGUAUGUGAAAUUGUUGAUAGGGAAGGAAAUGAGUGGAGAGUGGCCGAGGUUUCAGCCGCCCCUCGUGGGCGGUGUACUGCCGACGCCGAGUCAUCGAUAGCGAGACGAGGGUUACAAAUGGGAGCGCCUUCGGGCGUUCUCCCCUAACCCUCCACACUGCCACCGACGACAUAAUCCACCCAUUUCACCCGUCUUGAAACACGGACCAAGGAGUCUAAUGGAUAUGUGAGUGUUAGGGUGGCAAACCCCAGCGCGCAAUGAAAGUGAAUGGAUUCGUUCAGAAUCGACCGAACUUGAUUAUUAUGACAGUUUUGAGUAAACACAUCCAUUGGGACCCGAAAGAUGGUGAACUAUGCCUGGAUAGGGUGAAGUCAGAGGAAACUCUGAUGGAGGCUCGUAGCGGUUCUGACGUGCAAAUCGAUCGUAGGAUCUGGGUAUAGGGGCGAAAGACUAAUCGAACCAUCUAGUAGCUGGUUCCUGCCGAAGUUUCCCUCAGGAUAGCAGAAGCUCAUAUCAGUUUUAUGAGGUAAAGCGAAUGAUUAGAAGUAUUGG